UACGUAGGGUGCGAGCGUUGUCCGGAAUUAUUGGGCGUAAAGAGCUCGUAGGCGGUGUGUCACGUCGGCCGUGAAAACCUGCAGCUUAACUGUGGGCGUGCGGUCGAUACGGGCAUCACUGGAGUUCGGCAGGGGAGACUGGAAUUCCUGGUGUAGCGGUGAAAUGCGUAGAUAUAUGGAGGAAUACCAGUGGCGAAGGCGGCCUCCUGGCUCGAUACUGACGCUGAGGUGCGAAAGCGUGGGGAUCAAACAGG
RNAcentral lists this ribosomal RNA (254 nucleotides) under uncultured bacterium. RNAcentral describes it as "partial 16S ribosomal RNA". It matches the Rfam family "Bacterial small subunit ribosomal RNA", at positions 524 to 776 of the family's 1533-position model. The record is from RNAcentral.